RNAcentral lists this microRNA precursor (67 nucleotides) under Pelobates cultripes (western spadefoot toad). Lineage: Eukaryota; Metazoa; Chordata; Amphibia; Anura; Pelobatidae. The record is from RNAcentral.
UAGGAGAGAGAAAGGGAGACUUCCUAGUGUAUUAAGUUUCCUAGGAAGUCUCCCUUUCUCUCUCCUU